GUAACACGUGGGUAACCUGCCUGUAAGACUGGGAUAACUCCGGGAAACCGGGGCUAAUACCGGAUGCUUGAUUGAACCGCAUGGUUCAAUCCUUAAAAGGUGGCUUUUAGCUACCACUUACAGAUGGACCCGCGGCGCAUUAGCUAGUUGGUGAGGUAACGGCUCACCAAGCGACGAUGCGUAGCCGACCUGAGAGGGUGAUCGGCCACACUGGGACUGAGACACGGCCCAGACUCCUACGGGAGGCAGCAGUAGGGAAUCUUCCGCAAUGGACGAAAGUCUGACGGAGCAACGCCGCGUGAGUGAUGAAGGUUUUCGGAUCGUAAAACUCUGUUGUUAGGGAAGAACAAGUACCGUUCGAAUAGGGCGGCACUUGACGGUACCUAACCAGAAAGCCACGGCUAACUACGUGCCAGCAGCCGCGGUAAUACGUAGGUGGCAAGCGUUGUCCGGAAUUAUUGGGCGUAAAGCGCGCGCAGGCGGUUUCUUAAGUCUGAUGUGAAAGCCCCCGGCUCAACCGGGGAGGGUCAUUGGAAACUGGGGAACUUGAGUGCAGAAGAGGAGAGUGGAAUUCCACGUGUAGCGGUGAAAUGCGUAGAGAUGUGGAGGAACACCAGUGGCGAAGGCGACUCUCUGGUCUGUAACUGACGCUGAGGCGCGAAAGCGUGGGGAGCGAACAGGAUUAGAUACCUGGUAGUCCACGCCGUAAACGAUGAGUGCUAAG
RNAcentral lists this ribosomal RNA (724 nucleotides) under bacterium MS-AsV-16. RNAcentral describes it as "bacterial SSU rRNA". It matches the Rfam family "Bacterial small subunit ribosomal RNA", at positions 110 to 820 of the family's 1533-position model. The record is from RNAcentral.